RNAcentral lists this ribosomal RNA (253 nucleotides) under uncultured bacterium. RNAcentral describes it as "partial 16S ribosomal RNA". It matches the Rfam family "Bacterial small subunit ribosomal RNA", at positions 524 to 776 of the family's 1533-position model. The record is from RNAcentral.
UACGAAGGGGGCUAGCGUUGUUCAGAAUUACUGGGCGUAAAGCGCGUGUAGGCGGGUCUUCAAGUCAGGGGUGAAAUGCCAGGGCUCAACCUUGGAACUGCCUUUGAUACUGGAGACCUUGAGUCCGGGAGAGGUGAGUGGAAUUGCGAGUGUAGAGGUGAAAUUCGUAGAUAUUCGCAAGAACACCAGUGGCGAAGGCGGCUCACUGGCCCGGAACUGACGCUGAGACGCGAAAGCGUGGGGAGCAAACAGG